CGCGUAGGCGGUUCGGUAAGUUGCUGGUGAAAUCCCGGGGCUCAACUCCGGGGCGGCCGGCACGACUGCCGGACUUGAGCACGGUAGGGGCAGAUGGAAUUCCCGGUGUAGCGGUGGAAUGCGUAGAGAUCGGGAAGAAUACCAGUGGCGAAGGCGUUCUGCUGGGCCGUUGCUGACGCUGAGGCGCGACAGCGUGGGGAGCAAACA
This 207-nucleotide ribosomal RNA is filed under the name uncultured bacterium. Its description in RNAcentral is "partial 16S ribosomal RNA". It matches the Rfam family "Bacterial small subunit ribosomal RNA", at positions 568 to 774 of the family's 1533-position model. The record is from RNAcentral.